CCAUUCGCCGACCACGACGCGCGCUGCCCAGAACACGUGCUCUCUCAUCAAGACACAUAUUUUCUAUCGAGCACGUGGUUUCUCAUAGUUCGCUUCUAUCAGAUUAUUGUUUGCGACAGGGACAUUUUGCUGAUGGCAAAUGAAGGUACGAAAAUGAGAAUGGUAAACGAAGAUUUUAAGAGAAUGCCAUUGUUUCUGAAAAGUGAAUCUCUAAAUGAGCGGAAAAGAGAAAACUUCAUAUAAUUAUUUUUUCAAUAGUUGAAUCUAUUCAUUUAAUUAAUUGAUUUAUCUCCAGGAUAAAGUUGAAUGAAAUUUAGUACACCUCUCAUAGAUAUAUAUAUAUAUAGCUUAUUACAAAUUUAAAGUUUACCGCGGAUUUCAGACCGGAAGAUGUCAAGACUGUGAUUAUUCUACUGCAGAUCACUAUACGAAAAUUUUCAACAGGAGUUUUCUGCCACAAUGAUCAAGAUUAAAAAUAAUUGUACCUAUACAAAGGAAUUUUUCAUACAAAAAAUAAUCUUAAAAUGAGUAUUCUGCUAAUUAAAGCUCUCUUAAAGCGAUUAUAUUUCAGAAUGCCUAAAGUUUAAUGA
Long non-coding RNA from Parasteatoda tepidariorum (common house spider), 590 nucleotides. RefSeq lists it as uncharacterized. NCBI's taxonomy places the organism in Eukaryota, Metazoa, Arthropoda, Arachnida, Araneae, Theridiidae. The record is from RefSeq and is a predicted model, not a curated record.